CUACAGUGGGAGCGGAGCAACCGAACGGCCGGCUGCUGCUCGUUAGCUAACGGUAGCCUUCUGAUUCCACCCCCCCAACAAACCUUCAUCAUACACUGAUUUUGGCAGAACGUGCAGCCAGUAAUGAAGGGAUAGAUGCACCUAACAGAGGGCUUCUCUCUACAGGAUCCUGGACCAUUAGUGCUUCGUCGUGGGUCACAGUGCAACAUCAGAUGUCUGCAACGCUCAUCAGUUUUUCUUGGACAAGGGGGCCCCUAAAUCAUGGCUGCAGCUGUCGCCGUGGUCCUGCUACACCCUGCUACGCCGUGCAGUUCCCUGCUACGUCCUGUAACGCCCUGCUACGCCAUGAACUACUGCAACUACUAUUUAUAGUCGUAGUUCAAUUAUCUUUAUUGUAGGAUGACCACAUUUCCUGGAACUAAAACCGGGACACUUUGUGCGUGACCGUAGUGUGUUUGUGCACGACCACGCUUUUUAACGUGAACAUGUGCCAGCCCAGGUCAGACACAGACACAGACAGUAACUUCAUUAUUUUGAUCCUAGGCUCCUCGUCUAAUAAUAAGUGUUUUCUCUUGUGAAAUUAACAAAAUUGCAGUAACAGCCUUUUUCAGUUUAGUGUGAGAUUUAUGUUGCGAUUUUUUCUAAAGAAGAUUUUUUGAAGUUUUAUUUAUUCCAAUAACAGCAAAUUAAUUAAAAUGAUU
This is a long non-coding RNA of Perca fluviatilis (European perch), 701 nucleotides long. RefSeq lists it as uncharacterized. The transcript has 3 exons. The record is from RefSeq and is a predicted model, not a curated record. Lineage: Eukaryota; Metazoa; Chordata; Actinopteri; Perciformes; Percidae.